CACCUUUUGACAUGCCCGGACCGCCACAGAGAUGUGGCUUUCCCUUCGGGGACUGGGACACAGGUGCUGCAUGGCUGUCGUCAGCUCGUGUCGUGAGAUGUUGGGUUAAGUCCCGCAACGAGCGCAACCCUCGCCAUUAGUUGCCAUCAUUCAGUUGGGAACUCUAAUGGGACUGCCGGUGCUAAGCCGGAGGAAGGUGGGGAUGACGUCAAGUCCUCAUGGCCCUUACAGGGUGGGCUACACACGUGCUACAAUGGCGACUACAGAGGGUUAAUCCUUAAAAGUCGUCUCAGUUCGGAUUGUCCUCUGCAACUCGAGGGCAUGAAGUUGGAAUCGCUAGUAAUCGCGGAUCAGCAUGCCGCGGUGAAUACGUUCCC
This 377-nucleotide ribosomal RNA is filed under the name uncultured bacterium. Its description in RNAcentral is "bacterial SSU rRNA". It matches the Rfam family "Bacterial small subunit ribosomal RNA", at positions 975 to 1375 of the family's 1533-position model. The record is from RNAcentral.